AAAUUGAAGAGUUUGAUCAUGGCUCAGAUUGAACGCUGGCGGCAGGCCUAACACAUGCAAGUCGAACGGUAGCAGGAAACAGCUUGCUGUUUCGCUGACGAGUGGCGGACGGGUGAGUAAUGUCUGGGAAACUGCCCGAUGGAGGGGGAUAACUACUGGAAACGGUAGCUAAUACCGCAUAACGUCGCAAGACCAAAGAGGGGGACCUUC
This 210-nucleotide ribosomal RNA is filed under the name Escherichia coli. RNAcentral describes it as "partial 16S ribosomal RNA". It matches the Rfam family "Bacterial small subunit ribosomal RNA", at positions 1 to 218 of the family's 1533-position model. The record is from RNAcentral. Lineage: Bacteria; Pseudomonadati; Pseudomonadota; Gammaproteobacteria; Enterobacterales; Enterobacteriaceae.